Non-coding RNA from Camelina sativa (false flax), 1452 nucleotides. NCBI's taxonomy places the organism in Eukaryota, Viridiplantae, Streptophyta, Magnoliopsida, Brassicales, Brassicaceae. The record is from RefSeq and is a predicted model, not a curated record.
GCUCCCACUCCUAAAAGUGUUCGAUAAAAGUCAAUUCUUAUCUUGCCGACUUCAUUAGAGAAGAAAGGUUCAUUAUAUGAGAUGAGGCUCCAAUGAUGAACAAAUUUUGUUUUGAAACGUUGGAUAGGAGGAUUUGCAAGAUAUUCUGAAGUGUGAUCGGAUUUUUUGGAGGUCUUACAUUCUUGGAGUGUCAGAGAGUUCUUUACAAAAUGAGUUCUGCUUCUUGUGGAUGUAAAGGGUGACACAAUUGAAGCAUCUUUUUUAUCAAUCCAACUCUGCAUGAGAGGAAUACUCACCAUUCUUAUCAGAUUAAAUUUACGGAUGCUACCACAAUUAUGGUGCUAAGAAGAACAAUAAUGGCUCAGAAAAGAACAUCAACAACAUUAGAGAGUGAAGAGACCAAAUUCAUUUUCUUCUUUCUCCAAUACAGUUUCAAAUAUAUUUUCUGAAGUUUAUGCAGCAAAACAAUGUGGAGUUUAACCUUCGAAUACAGUUUCAAAUAUAUUUUCUGGAGUUUAUGCAGCAAAGCAGUAAGCAAUACCAUAUUUUAAGAUAAUUUCUUGAUUCUUUCAAAGAUUUACAUUUGUUGGAAUCAUGUGUAAUAUACUAAUGUGACAAAGUCCCACAUCGGAAGAAACAAAUUUUUCUUUUUUGUAGAAAUAAGUUAAGCUACUAUGUUCGUACGUUGAGCUUAGUAAUGUUUGCUUGUGAUCCGAGUGGAGACAAUAAAUGUGAUGGAACAUUGGGUUCGGGUUUGGCUUUCUACUAGCCUGCCCAUUCCAAGUCGGGAGUUGCGAUUCCGGUCCCAGAGGAGAAUGCGUGAGUAUAGGCCGGUGCCAUCACCUUUUUUGCAACUAAAUCACAUACAUACAAAUAGAACUUUCAUUUAUUGUUUAAGAAUCAAGCUAAGUUGUAUGUAACCAAACCAUAUAUAUGCAGUGGUGAAGAACGAAAUGACCAUUAUUUUAUUACCUUUGAAUCUCUAGUGUACGAAUAUAUACAAUGAUGAAGAACUUGAAUGAAGGUAAGAACAUCUUCAUUUCCAGUGACGAUCUCGUUGCCUGCAUCCUUCUCCGGCAAUCCCCAAUCGAAGAAGUAGAGCAAAUUCAACAAUGCCAACUCAACAAGCAUGAUUCCUAUUGUCAUCCCUGGACAUAUUAUCCUACCAGAUCCAAACACUAUGAGCUCAAAGUUUAGUCCUCUCUAAUCUAUGGAACUGUCGAGAAACCUGUUAGGGUUAAACUCAUAUGGGUACUCCUAGAGUUUUGGAUCACGAGGAAUCUCAUAGGCAUUGAUAAUGAUCUGUUUUUCGCAGGAAUAUCGUAGCAUUCGAUCUUUACAUGAGACAAUGUCUCUCUUGGAAGCAAGAGUGCAGCUGAUGGAUGUAACCUGAAUAUCUCCCUGACCAUGAGCUUGAAGUAGUGAAGUUGAUUUAGAUCUUAUUAUGUGAUU